Molecule: ribosomal RNA, 207 nt
Filed under: uncultured bacterium
Lineage: Bacteria
Description: partial 16S ribosomal RNA
Rfam family: Bacterial small subunit ribosomal RNA
Source: RNAcentral
CGCGUAGGCGGAUAGUUUAGUCAGAGGUAAAAGCCCAGGGCUCAACCUUGGAACUGCCUUUGAUACUGACUAUCUUGAGUACGGGAGAGGUGUGUGGAACUCCGAGUGUAGAGGUGAAAUUCGUAGAUAUUCGGAAGAACACCAGUGGCGAAGGCGACACACUGGCCCGUUACUGACGCUGAGGCGCGAAAGCGUGGGGAGCAAACA